GAGUGUAUGUGUAAGAGAGAGAGAGAAAGAGAGGGAGUGAGAGAACGCGGAGUUUUGUUCACUUUCAUCCCCCGGUUGGCAGCAGGACCGUGCGCCUCUCUCUCUCUGUCUCCCCGCUCUCUGUGAGUCUUUCGCCGCAUGGAUUUUUGAUCUCGCCCGCUGCUCUCCUGGAGGGUCUCUCUCCGGCUCGGUUCACAUGGGACUUGUUGUUCCUGUUUUUUUCUGGAACAAAAGCCGCUCUCCGUGCCCCAUGUUCGGCUCCAGGGCUCCGUAGCUGAGGGCUCUUCGCCAUGGCCGAGCCGGGAGCAGUUUCCGACGCUUUGGCGGCUCCGCUGCUCGAGUUUAGCGCCGAGGCUGCGUCUCCCGGCCGGGAUGCGGCUCGGCGGGGCUUCCCGGGCCACGGCGCCGAGGGGCUCUUCUCCAACGGCGGCUGCAGGGAGCUCAGCAGCCCUGCGGUGGGCAGCCGGGGUCGAGACGCGUCCGCCGAAAGGAACCAGCCUAGCGGGAACCCACCCUGCGGGAUUAUGAAGGACUCCCCUAUCACUAGUGAUGCCCCAACACCAGGAGGGUAAAGACUACACAUG
This 584-nucleotide long non-coding RNA is filed under the name Astyanax mexicanus (Mexican tetra). RNAcentral's name for it is "lncRNA (ENSAMXG00005022790.1)". Lineage: Eukaryota; Metazoa; Chordata; Actinopteri; Characiformes; Acestrorhamphidae. The record is from RNAcentral.